GAUGAACGCUGGCGGCGUGCCUAAUACAUGCAAGUCGAGCGAACAGACGAGGAGCUUGCUCCUCUGACGUUAGCGGCGGACGGGUGAGUAACGCGUGGAUAACCUACCUAUAAGACUGGGAUAACUUCGGGAAACCGGAGCUAAUACCGGAUAAUACAUUGAACCGCAUGGUUCAAUAGUGAAAGACGGUUUUGCUGUCACUUAUAGAUGGAUCCGCGCCGCAUUAGCUAGUUGGUAAGGUAACGGCUUACCAAGGCAACGAUGCGUAGCCGACCUGAGAGGGUGAUCGGCCACACUGGAACUGAGACACGGUCCAGACUCCUACGGGAGGCAGCAGUAGGGAAUCUUCCGCAAUGGGCGAAAGCCUGACGGAGCAACGCCGCGUGAAUGAUGAAGGUCUUCGGAUCGUAAAACUCUGUUAUUAGGGAAGAACAAAUGUGUAAGUAACUAUGCACGUCUUGACGGUACCUAAUCAGAAAGCCACGGCUAACUACGUG
RNAcentral lists this ribosomal RNA (497 nucleotides) under uncultured bacterium. Its description in RNAcentral is "partial 16S ribosomal RNA". It matches the Rfam family "Bacterial small subunit ribosomal RNA", at positions 28 to 507 of the family's 1533-position model. The record is from RNAcentral.